UCUAUCCAAUGAGCGCUGCGCCUCCUCGCCCAGGGCCCGCCCCCUCCACCUCCUACCUAGGUCUAGCUCCGCCUGCAGCCGGCCGGGGGCAGCUCCGCCCAGUCCCGGCUCAGUGCCUUGUCCAGGGCUCCGAUUUGCCCAGCGGGGGCGACAUCGAGUAGAGUAUAAGUUCCCCAGGAUGGAGAAAUCUGUUGUCUCAGCUUCCAGGGAGCAGGUGGAAUGGUCAUUGACAUCCGAUUGACUAAGGUCCCUGCUCUGUCCCAAAUCUAAAUCACAAUCCACCUGUGCAGCCACCCCAGCUCUCACUCCAGGACCUCACCAGACUCUUGAAGUUCACAUUGCAGUGCUGGAUCUCCCCAUCUGCAGGGAGAGCAGCUGGAGGAGUCUCUGGUGACUACUAUGUGCUGAACAUUUUCUCUGUCAGGUGCUGAUGGGGUGAUUCACACACGAAAUCCUUCUAGAAUAUUCCAGAAGCCUUCCUCCUGCGUGACACAUUGCCCGCUGAGCCGCACUGCUGACACUUCCAUAAUAUGGGGACUGUGCUCUUUGCUCAGAAGAGCAAAGUCUCAAGGGACCUCAACUUGGAUCUCACCUGACUCCAGCACCUUAGCCCCGGGCUGUCCUGGUUCUACUUGAGUUUGUGUGUGGAUUUGCAGUGCCCCGUGUGCGGGAGCCUCAGGGGACUGUGGUAGUGUGUGUGGAGGGGUGCUUCCCCCAUUGGACGCAGAGAUUCUGGGGGUUAAAGCUUGAGCACUUGCUCCCCUCAGCCACAUUUGCUCUGGAUGCUCCUCCAGUCCAGAGAGACCAAUCACCCCUCCCACCUCCCGGCUGGGACCAUCCUCAGGGUCCCCCCCACCCUUGCCCUCCUCCCCUAGAUGCCCAGAGCCCUGGGGGAAGAGGGGAAAGAUUGAGGAUGAGGGUGGAGGUGCAGGGAGGAGGGAGAGGGGAGGGGAUGGGUUAAGAAGGAGUG
This is a non-coding RNA of Ictidomys tridecemlineatus (thirteen-lined ground squirrel), 970 nucleotides long. The record is from RefSeq and is a predicted model, not a curated record. NCBI's taxonomy places the organism in Eukaryota, Metazoa, Chordata, Mammalia, Rodentia, Sciuridae.